RNAcentral lists this ribosomal RNA (1334 nucleotides) under Clostridioides difficile. Its description in RNAcentral is "bacterial LSU rRNA". It matches the Rfam family "Bacterial large subunit ribosomal RNA", at positions 771 to 2123 of the family's 2925-position model. Lineage: Bacteria; Bacillati; Bacillota; Clostridia; Peptostreptococcales; Peptostreptococcaceae. The record is from RNAcentral.
GGUCCGAACCCACGAGCGUUGAAAAGCUCGGGGAUGACUUGUGGGUAGCGGUGAAAUUCCAAUCGAGCCCGGAGAUAGCUGGUUCUCCCCGAAAUAGCUUUAGGGCUAGCCUCAAGGUGAGAGAUACGGAGGUAGAGCACUGAAUGUCCUAGGGGGUAUUGCACCUACCGAAGACUAUCAAACUCCGAAUGCCGUCAUCUUAUACUUGGGAGUCAGACUGUGGGUGAUAAGAUUCAUAGUCGAAAGGGCAACAGCCCAGAUCGUCAGCUAAGGUCCCUAAAUGUAAGUUAAGUGGUAAAGGAUGUGGGAUUGCACAGACAACCAGGAUGUUGGCUUAGAAGCAGCCACUCAUUCAAAGAGUGCGUAAUAGCUCACUGGUCGAGUGAUCCUGCGCCGAAGAUUUCCGGGGCUAAAACUUACUACCGAAGCUACGGCAUCAGUAAUGAUGGGUAGGGGAGCUUCCCAUACGGGUUGAAGCAUGACCGUAAGGACAUGUGGACAGUAUGGGAGUGAGAAUGUUGGCAUGAGUAGCGAGAUGUGGGUGAGAAUCCCACAGGCCGUAAACCCAAGGUUUCCAGGGGAAGGUUCGUCCGCCCUGGGUUAGUCGGGACCUAAGCUGAGGCCGAAAGGCGUAGGUGAUGGACAACAGGUUGAUAUUCCUGUACUACCGAUAACCGUUUGAGAGAAGGGAUGACACAGUAGGAUAAGCUAAGCACACUGUUGGUUAUGUGUGCCCAAGCAUUGAGGCAGUCAAAGUAGGCAAAUCCGCUUUGAUAAUGCUGGGAUGUGAUGGGGAGCGAAAUUUAGUAGCGAAGUAGCUGAUUUCACACUGUCAAGAAAAGUCUCUAUCGAGGUUAAAGGUACCCGUACCGCAAACCGACACAGGUGGGUGAGGAGAGUAUCCUAAGGCCAGCGAGAGAACUGUUGUUAAGGAACUCGGCAAAAUGACCCCGUAACUUAGGGAUAAGGGGUGCCACCAUUAGGUGGCCGCAGAGAAUAGGCCCAAGCGACUGUUUACCAAAAACAUAGGUUUCUGCUAAGUCGCAAGACGAUGUAUAGGAGCUGACGCCUGCCCGGUGCUGGAAGGUUAAGGGGAUCUGUUAGAGCAAUCGAAGCAGUGAACUUAAGCCCCAGUAAACGGCGGCCGUAACUAUAACGGUCCUAAGGUAGCGAAAUUCCUUGUCGGGUAAGUUCCGACCCGCACGAAAGGCGUAACGAUUUGGGCACUGUCUCAACAACAGACUCGGUGAAAUUGUAAUUCCGGUGAAGAUGCCGGAUACCUGCGACAGGACGGAAAGACCCCAUGGAGCUUUACUGUAGCUUGACAUUGGGUC